Heligmosomoides polygyrus is the source of this 72-nucleotide non-coding RNA. The record is from Rfam. Lineage: Eukaryota; Metazoa; Nematoda; Chromadorea; Rhabditida; Heligmosomidae.
GCGCCGGUGGUGUAAGGCGUAUCGUCGCUGCCUGCAAAGCAGAAGGUGCAAGUUCGAGUCCCGCCUGGCGCA